Molecule: ribosomal RNA, 371 nt
Filed under: uncultured organism
Description: bacterial SSU rRNA
Rfam family: Bacterial small subunit ribosomal RNA
Source: RNAcentral
CAGAGGGGCAAGCGUUAUUCGGAAUUAUUGGGCGUAAAGGGCGCGUAGGCGGCUUUUCAAGUGACGGGUGAAAUCCCUCGGCUUAACCGAGGAACUGCCUGUCAGACUGGAAGGCUUGAGACCGGGAGAGGUGAGUGGAAUUCCCAGUGUAGCGGUGAAAUGCGUAGAUAUUGGGAGGAACACCAGUGGCGAAGGCGGCUCACUGGACCGGAACUGACGCUGAGGCGCGAAAGCGUGGGGAGCAAACAGGAUUAGAUACCCUGGUAGUCCACGCCGUAAACGAUGAGUGCUUGGUGUAGCGGGUAUCGACCCCUGCUGUGCCGAAGUCAACACAUUAAGCACUCCGCCUGGGGAGUACGGUCGCAAGACUG